This 253-nucleotide ribosomal RNA is filed under the name uncultured bacterium. RNAcentral's name for it is "partial 16S ribosomal RNA". It matches the Rfam family "Bacterial small subunit ribosomal RNA", at positions 524 to 776 of the family's 1533-position model. The record is from RNAcentral.
UACAGAGGGGGCAAGCGUUGUUCGGAAUUACUGGGCGUAAAGGGCGCGUAGGCGGCCUGCUAAGUCGAACGUGAAAUCCCCGGGCUCAACCCGGGAACUGCGUCCGAUACUGGCAGGCUUGAAUCCGGGAGAGGGAUGUGGAAUUCCAGGUGUAGCGGUGAAAUGCGUAGAUAUCGGAAGGAACGCCGGUGGCGAAAGCGACGUGCUGGACCUCUUCUGACGCUGAGGCGCGAAAGCUAGGGGAGCAAACGGG